GUGCACCAGGCGAGAAACCUCCGCAAUGCGGGAAACCGCGACGGGGGACCCCGAGUGCCGUGGCAACGCCACGGCUUUUCCGGAGUGUAAAAAGCUCCGGGAAUAAGGGCUGGGCAAGGCCGGUGGCAGCCGCCGCGGUAAUACCGGCGGCCCGAGUGGUGGCCGCUAUUAUUGGGCCUAAAAGCGUCCGUAGCCGGGCCCGUAAGUCCCUGGCGAAAUCCCACGGCUCAACCGUGGGGCUUGCUGGGGAUACUGCGGGUCUUGGGACCGGGAGAGGCGGGGGGUACCCCUGGGGUAGGGGUGGAAAUCCUAUAAUCCCCAGGGGGACCGCCAGUGGCGAAGGCGCCCCGCUGGAACGGGUCCGACGGUGAGGGACGAAGGCCAGGGGGA
RNAcentral lists this ribosomal RNA (390 nucleotides) under uncultured microorganism. RNAcentral describes it as "bacterial SSU rRNA". It matches the Rfam family "Archaeal small subunit ribosomal RNA", at positions 330 to 719 of the family's 1478-position model. The record is from RNAcentral.